This 253-nucleotide ribosomal RNA is filed under the name uncultured bacterium. RNAcentral describes it as "partial 16S ribosomal RNA". It matches the Rfam family "Bacterial small subunit ribosomal RNA", at positions 524 to 776 of the family's 1533-position model. The record is from RNAcentral.
UACGUAGGGUGCGAGCGUUGUCCGGAAUUAUUGGGCGUAAAGGGCUCGUAGGCGGUUUGUCGCGUCGGGAGUGAAAACAUCCAGCUUAACUGGGUGCUUGCUUUCGAUACGGGCAGACUUGAGGUAUGCAGGGGAGAAUGGAAUUCCUGGUGUAGCGGUGAAAUGCGCAGAUAUCAGGAGGAACACCGGUGGCGAAGGCGGUUCUCUGGGCAUUACCUGACGCUGAGGCGCGAAAGCUAGGGGAGCAAACAGG